AGUCCGAGUUGUAAUUUGUAGAAGAUGCUUUGGGAGGUAGGCUCGGCCUAAGUUCCUUGGAACAGGACAUCAGAGAGGGUGAGAAUCCCGUAUGUGGCCGUGGCCUACGCCCGUGUAAAGCUCUUUCGACGAGUCGAGUUGUUUGGGAAUGCAGCUCAAAAUGGGUGGUAAAUUUCAUCUAAAGCUAAAUAUUGGCCAGAGACCGAUAGCGCACAAGUAGAGUGAUCGAAAGAUGAAAAGCACUUUGGAAAGAGAGUUAAACAGUACGUGAAAUUGUUGAAAGGGAAGCGCUUGCACCCAGACUUGGGCGUCGUCGAUCAUCCGAGGUUCUCCUCGGUGCACUCGGCGAGGCACAGGCCAGCAUCGGUUUGGAUGGUUGGAGAAAGGCUCUAGGAACGUAGCUCUCUUCGGGGAGUGUUAUAGCCUAGGGCGUCAUGCAGCCCAUCCGGACCGAGGACCGCGCCUUCGGGCUAGGAUGCUGGCGUAAUGGUUGCAAGCGACCCGUCUUGAAACACGGACCAAGGAGUCUAACAUCUAUGCGAGUGUUUGGGCGUUAAACCCAUACGCGGAAUGAAAGUGAACGUAGGUGAGAACCCGUCGGGGUGCAUCAUCGACCGAUCCUGAUGUCUUCGGAUGGAUUUGAGUACGAGCAUAGCUGUUGGGA
This 664-nucleotide ribosomal RNA is filed under the name Golovinomyces sonchicola. RNAcentral describes it as "partial large subunit ribosomal RNA". It matches the Rfam family "Eukaryotic large subunit ribosomal RNA", at positions 135 to 814 of the family's 3401-position model. The record is from RNAcentral. Lineage: Eukaryota; Fungi; Ascomycota; Leotiomycetes; Helotiales; Erysiphaceae.